UCUCUCUCAAAGCUGCACACUUGGUCAAAGAGGAUAACCUUCCCCAAGUAGAGGAGGGACGGUCUUCAGUCAAGGGUAUAUGAAUAGCUGUGCUCUGCUAGAACCUCCAAACAACCCCUCAAUUUCUCUUUUUUAAAAUUAUUAAUUAAUUCAAUU
Molecule: small RNA, 156 nt
Filed under: Meriones unguiculatus (Mongolian gerbil)
Lineage: Eukaryota; Metazoa; Chordata; Mammalia; Rodentia; Muridae
Description: 7SK RNA (ENSMUGG00000001985.1)
Rfam family: 7SK RNA
About the family: 7SK was discovered as an abundant small nuclear RNA in the mid-70s but a possible function has only recently been suggested. Two independent studies have found that 7SK RNA binds the CDK9/cyclin T complex (known as elongation factor P-TEFb).
Source: RNAcentral